UCUUUUGAACAGUAGUCCUUUCCAUCUCAAAGAGGAACUGUCUUGUAUCUUUCUUUAGAUUCAAGAAACUCGAUGAAACCAUCAGCUUGGCCAAGCUUAAUCUUUCUUCCUUAUUUGUGAUAGAAGACACUUGUAGGUCUUCUGAAACCACACCAAUAAAGUUGAGCGGAAAAAGGUAAAAAAGAAACCUAUAUCAUCUCGCACAAUAGCCAAGCACUAGCAGUUAAAAAAUGCAUUAAUUUGAAUGCUUUGGACGUCGAAAUACAGGUGGAAAGGGCUUUGGCAGUGGUGCCUUUCCUCAUUCUAUAAUAUUGGACACAGUUUUAAUAGCAUCUGUGUAGGUGAAAGCCACUGCGAGUGUGAGUCAAAAUAACGAGAAAAUAAGGUUCGUGAAUAUCGUGGAUGACAAGGCACGUGAUUGCAGAUCAGGGAAUCUUAAGAAGCCGGUUCCCGAGACUUUUUCGUGAUAGGGGCAAAGAAACAGGAGCUGACAGGUUGAAGGUCAUUCACCGUUCUCAUUUCACUUCAAGCGAUGGGUUCAUGAGGAUCACUAAUUUGGAGAACUAGAUCACAUUUUUUAUGUAUUAAUGAGAUUUUGUACUUGUUUGAAGAUCAUGAGAAAUUUAGUUAAGUUUCUACAGAAACUGUGAUAAUGAUCAAAUCUUAUUAACUUAAAUCAAAGGCCACCAAUCGCACCUUCAAAAUGAA
Long non-coding RNA from Vitis vinifera (wine grape), 708 nucleotides. RefSeq lists it as uncharacterized. Lineage: Eukaryota; Viridiplantae; Streptophyta; Magnoliopsida; Vitales; Vitaceae. The transcript has 2 exons. The record is from RefSeq and is a predicted model, not a curated record.